Molecule: ribosomal RNA, 305 nt
Filed under: uncultured bacterium
Lineage: Bacteria
Description: bacterial SSU rRNA
Rfam family: Bacterial small subunit ribosomal RNA
Source: RNAcentral
UGUCCUACGGGGCGCAGCAGUGGGGAAUAUUGCGCAAUGGACGAAAGUCUGACGCAGCGACGCCGCGUGAGGGAUGAAGGUUUUCGGAUCGUAAACCUCUGUCAGGAGGGAAGAAAGCGCAUGGCGCCAAUCAGCCAUGCGUUGACGGUACCUCCAAAGGAAGCGCCGGCUAACUCCGUGCCAGCAGCCGCGGUAAUACGGAGGAUGCGAGCGUUAUCCGGAUUUAUUGGGUUUAAAGGGUGCGUAGGCGGGCUUUUAAGUCAGCGGUAAAAAUUCGGGGCUCAACCCCGUCCGGCCGUUGAAAC